UUAAGCGACUAAGCGUACACGGUGGAUGCCCUGGCAGUCAGAGGCGAUGAAGGACGUGCUAAUCUGCGAUAAGCGUCGGUAAGGUGAUAUGAACCGUUAUAACCGGCGAUUUCCGAAUGGGGAAACCCAGUGUGUUUCGACACACUAUCAUUAACUGAAUCCAUAGGUUAAUGAGGCGAACCGGGGGAACUGAAACAUCUAAGUACCCCGAGGAAAAGAAAUCAACCGAGAUUCCCCCAGUAGCGGCGAGCGAACGGGGAGCAGCCCAGAGCCUGAAUCAGUGUGUGUGUUAGUGGAAGCGUCUGGAAAGGCGCGCGAUACAGGGUGACAGCCCCGUACACAAAAAUGCACAUGCUGUGAGCUCGAUGAGUAGGGCGGGACACGUGGUAUCCUGUCUGAAUAUGGGGGGACCAUCCUCCAAGGCUAAAUACUCCUGACUGACCGAUAGUGAACCAGUACCGUGAGGGAAAGGCGAAAAGAACCCCGGCGAGGGGAGUGAAAAAGAACCUGAAACCGUGUACGUACAAGCAGUGGGAGCCUCUUUAUGGGGUGACUGCGUACCUUUUGUAUAAUGGGUCAGCGACUUAUAUUCUGUAGCAAGGUUAACCGAAUAGGGGAGCCGAAGGGAAACCGAGUCUUAACUGGGCGUUAAGUUGCAGGGUAUAGACCCGAAACCCGGUGAUCUAGCCAUGGGCAGGUUGAAGGUUGGGUAACACUAACUGGAGGACCGAACCGACUAAUGUUGAAAAAUUAGCGGAUGACUUGUGGCUGGGGGUGAAAGGCCAAUCAAACCGGGAGAUAGCUGGUUCUCCCCGAAAGCUAUUUAGGUAGCGCCUCGUGAAUUCAUCUCCGGGGGUAGAGCACUGUUUCGGCAAGGGGGUCAUCCCGACUUACCAACCCGAUGCAAACUGCGAAUACCGGAGAAUGUUAUCACGGGAGACACACGGCGGGUGCUAACGUCCGUCGUGAAGAGGGAAACAACCCAGACCGCCAGCUAAGGUCCCAAAGUCAUGGUUAAGUGGGAAACGAUGUGGGAAGGCCCAGACAGCCAGGAUGUUGGCUUAGAAGCAGCCAUCAUUUAAAGAAAGCGUAAUAGCUCACUGGUCGAGUCGGCCUGCGCGGAAGAUGUAACGGGGCUAAACCAUGCACCGAAGCUGCGGCAGCGACGCUUAUGCGUUGUUGGGUAGGGGAGCGUUCUGUAAGCCUGUGAAGGUGUGCUGUGAGGCAUGCUGGAGGUAUCAGAAGUGCGAAUGCUGACAUAAGUAACGAUAAAGCGGGUGAAAAGCCCGCUCGCCGGAAGACCAAGGGUUCCUGUCCAACGUUAAUCGGGGCAGGGUGAGUCGACCCCUAAGGCGAGGCCGAAAGGCGUAGUCGAUGGGAAACAGGUUAAUAUUCCUGUACUUGGUGUUACUGCGAAGGGGGACGGAGAAGGCUAUGUUGGCCGGGCGACGGUUGUCCCGGUUUAAGCGUGUAGGCUGGUUUUCCAGGCAAAUCCGGAAAAUCAAGGCUGAGGCGUGAUGACGAGGCACUACGGUGCUGAAGCAACAAAUGCCCUGCUUCCAGGAAAAGCCUCUAAGCAUCAGGUAACAUCAAAUCGUACCCCAAACCGACACAGGUGGUCAGGUAGAGAAUACCAAGGCGCUUGAGAGAACUCGGGUGAAGGAACUAGGCAAAAUGGUGCCGUAACUUCGGGAGAAGGCACGCUGAUAUGUAGGUGAAGUCCCUCGCGGAUGGAGCUGAAAUCAGUCGAAGAUACCAGCUGGCUGCAACUGUUUAUUAAAAACACAGCACUGUGCAAACACGAAAGUGGACGUAUACGGUGUGACGCCUGCCCGGUGCCGGAAGGUUAAUUGAUGGGGUUAGCGGUAACGCGAAGCUCUUGAUCGAAGCCCCGGUAAACGGCGGCCGUAACUAUAACGGUCCUAAGGUAGCGAAAUUCCUUGUCGGGUAAGUUCCGACCUGCACGAAUGGCGUAAUGAUGGCCAGGCUGUCUCCACCCGAGACUCAGUGAAAUUGAACUCGCUGUGAAGAUGCAGUGUACCCGCGGCAAGACGGAAAGACCCCGUGAACCUUUACUAUAGCUUGACACUGAACAUUGAGCCUUGAUGUGUAGGAUAGGUGGGAGGCUUGGAAGUGUGGACGCCAGUCUGCAUGGAGCCGACCUUGAAAUACCACCCUUUAAUGUUUGAUGUUCUAACGUUGACCCGUAAUCCGGGUUGCGGACAGUGUCUGGUGGGUAGUUUGACUGGGGCGGUCUCCUCCUAAAGAGUAACGGAGGAGCACGAAGGUUGGCUAAUCCUGGUCGGACAUCAGGAGGUUAGUGCAAUGGCAUAAGCCAGCUUGACUGCGAGCGUGACGGCGCGAGCAGGUGCGAAAGCAGGUCAUAGUGAUCCGGUGGUUCUGAAUGGAAGGGCCAUCGCUCAACGGAUAAAAGGUACUCCGGGGAUAACAGGCUGAUACCGCCCAAGAGUUCAUAUCGACGGCGGUGUUUGGCACCUCGAUGUCGGCUCAUCACAUCCUGGGGCUGAAGUAGGUCCCAAGGGUAUGGCUGUUCGCCAUUUAAAGUGGUACGCGAGCUGGGUUUAGAACGUCGUGAGACAGUUCGGUCCCUAUCUGCCGUGGGCGCUGGAGAACUGAGGGGGGCUGCUCCUAGUACGAGAGGACCGGAGUGGACGCAUCACUGGUGUUCGGGUUGUCAUGCCAAUGGCACUGCCCGGUAGCUAAAUGCGGAAGAGAUAAGUGCUGAAAGCAUCUAAGCACGAAACUUGCCCCGAGAUGAGUUCUCCCUGACUCCUUGAGAGUCCUGAAGGAACGUUGAAGACGACGACGUUGAUAGGCCGGGUGUGUAAGCGCAGCGAUGCGUUGAGCUAACCGGUACUAAUGAACCGUGAGGCUUAACCUU
Molecule: ribosomal RNA, 2902 nt
Filed under: Escherichia coli
Lineage: Bacteria; Pseudomonadati; Pseudomonadota; Gammaproteobacteria; Enterobacterales; Enterobacteriaceae
Description: bacterial LSU rRNA
Rfam family: Bacterial large subunit ribosomal RNA
Source: RNAcentral